AGGUCAGUACAGUGUAAUUGGUAUCACCCCGGACUGUAAAUCCGGUGCCUAAAGGCGAUUGUUGGUUCAAGUCCAACCUGGCCUA
This 85-nucleotide transfer RNA is filed under the name Caudoviricetes sp. Its description in RNAcentral is "tRNA-Tyr". It matches the Rfam family "tRNA". Rfam says of the family: Transfer RNA (tRNA) molecules are approximately 80 nucleotides in length. Their secondary structure includes four short double-helical elements and three loops (D, anti-codon, and T loops). Further hydrogen bonds mediate the characteristic L-shaped molecular structure. tRNAs have two regions of fundamental functional importance: the anti-codon, which is responsible for specific mRNA codon recognition, and the 3' end, to which the tRNAs corresponding amino acid is attached (by aminoacyl-tRNA synthetases). tRNAs cope with the degeneracy of the genetic code in two manners: having more than one tRNA (with a specific anti-codon) for a particular amino acid; and 'wobble' base-pairing, i.e. permitting non-standard base-pairing at the 3rd anti-codon position. Lineage: Duplodnaviria; Heunggongvirae; Uroviricota; Caudoviricetes. The record is from RNAcentral.